Molecule: non-coding RNA, 28 nt
Filed under: Mus musculus (house mouse)
Lineage: Eukaryota; Metazoa; Chordata; Mammalia; Rodentia; Muridae
Source: RNAcentral
UCUGAGGGGAAAGUCAGGGAUACCCAGG